Molecule: long non-coding RNA, 389 nt
Organism: Rhipicephalus sanguineus (brown dog tick)
Lineage: Eukaryota; Metazoa; Arthropoda; Arachnida; Ixodida; Ixodidae
Exons: 3
Source: RefSeq, a predicted model, not a curated record
ACACCGUCUAGUAACGACAUUUUGUUCUCGGCAAGCUUCGGAGACCGGUCAGCUGCUGUUCGAAGAUGGCUUUGCUGAAACUUGCUCUCUGUAUUCUCCUAUAUGCGUUGGUAGCCGCAAAUCCUCCCGCAAAUCGCCACCGUGGAAAUGCGGACAGCGUGAGGAUGUUCGCUGCUUUUCCCCAUGCCGUUGCCGUGUUCACAACCCAAAACGACACUUCUUUUAAGUGUCUCAGUGCAACGAGAAGGAACUUUAACCCGCGAGAAAGGACGGUUACCUACGUUUGGCACUUCAAAAAUCACACUGGCCAUCAAAGGAGAGACGUCGUCUUCGACGUGAAUUUUUCAGAAACUCCUGGAGAAGGCACCUUUUUCGUGAACAAUGGUAAG